Cinara cedri is the source of this 270-nucleotide non-coding RNA. Lineage: Eukaryota; Metazoa; Arthropoda; Insecta; Hemiptera; Aphididae. The record is from the annotation of a GenBank genome assembly.
GUUUUUAACUAACCGUAACUAUAAAUUCUCAAAAAUAGAAGAUAUAUCGUAAUAUUGUGUUGUACAUAAUAUUAAACGACAAAAUAUAACAUGCAAGUUCGUUAAUAAAACUUUAAGUUAACUUUUUUUAAAUUAACAUCCUGUUUAAAAUACAAAUUUGUUUUUCUCAAAACAACAAAUUUUAUGUCGUGGCGAUCUUGCUUCCAGGGUGCAGGUUACCCGAUAUUUCGGUAAUAAAAAAACAUUGUUUAAUUUUUUUGAAUCACUAUA